RNAcentral lists this ribosomal RNA (253 nucleotides) under uncultured bacterium. Its description in RNAcentral is "partial 16S ribosomal RNA". It matches the Rfam family "Bacterial small subunit ribosomal RNA", at positions 524 to 776 of the family's 1533-position model. The record is from RNAcentral.
UACGUAGGCAGCAAGCGUUGUUCGGAGUUACUGGGCGUAAAGAGUGCGUAGGCGGUCCUGUAAGUUUGGUGUGAAAUCUCCCGGCUCAACUGGGAGGGUGCGCCGAAGACUGCAGGGCUUGAGUAUGGGAGAGGUAAGCGGAAUUCCUGGUGUAGCGGUGAAAUGCGCAGAUAUCAGGAAGAACACCAAUGGCGAAGGCAGCUCGCUGGAACGGUACUGACGCUGAGGCGCGAAAGCGUGGGGAGCGAACAGG